Molecule: ribosomal RNA, 207 nt
Filed under: uncultured bacterium
Lineage: Bacteria
Description: partial 16S ribosomal RNA
Rfam family: Bacterial small subunit ribosomal RNA
Source: RNAcentral
UGCGCAGGUGGUUUGGCAAGUUUGAUGUGAAAGCCCCGGGCUUAACCCGGGAAUGGCAUUGAAUACCGCUGAACUGGAGGAUUGGAGGGGGGACUGGAAUUCUUGGUGUAGCAGUGAAAUGCGUAGAUAUCAAGAGGAACACCAGUGGCGAAGGCGAGUCCCUGGACAAUACCUGACACUGAGGCACGAAAGCUAGGGGAGCAAACA